Molecule: long non-coding RNA, 1719 nt
Filed under: Sus scrofa (pig)
Lineage: Eukaryota; Metazoa; Chordata; Mammalia; Artiodactyla; Suidae
Description: lncRNA (ENSSSCG00000054092.1)
Source: RNAcentral
AGGGCUGCACCCACAGCAUAUGGAGUUUCCCAGGCUAGGGGUCUAAUCGGAGCUGUUGCUGCCGGCCUACGCUGAGGCCAAGCAAUGCGGGAUCCAAGCCGUGUCUGAGACCUACACCACAGCUCAUGGCAACGCCCAAUCCUUAACCCAUUGAGCAAGGCCAGGGAUCGAACCUGCAACCUCAUGGUUCCUAGUUGGAUUCAUUAACCACAGCGCCUUGAGGGAAACUCCAAGACCCACCUUCUAAUGCUCUCACAAAGGAAAUUAGGUUUCAACAUAUGAAUUUGGGGGGCACACAAAAGUUCAGGGCUUGUGAAGCCACCUCAGAUAUUCCCUUCCUCACAGAUUUAUGCUAGAGGCCACUUGCCUUGGCAACCUGUUGAGGUGGUGUCAACUAAAAAGGCCCAGGUCCAGUCGCCUUCCCCUGGUGACACUCAUUGCUGCCAUGCCCAAUAGUGGGAGGCCCAGCUGCUCCCAGCCUUUCCUCUCAGCUCUGACAACACACUCUUCUUUCUCCCCUUCUUGGGGCAUCAGGUUCUCUGCAGAAGAGGUGGUUACCAUCCCUGGGGCUGGGAGCAGUAAAGGAAGAAAGACUCUCUCUUCCUCACCAGAAUAUCCUCAAGGCCAGCCUUUUUUGAUUAGGUUCCUUUGGUUUAUUUUCGCUCUUAUUUCUGUUGCCUUGGGAGAAUGACCUGAGAAAAUAUUCACAAGGUUGAUGUCAGAGAAUGUUUUGCCUAUGUUCUCUUCCAGGAGUUUGAUGGUGUCUUAUUUAAGUCUUUGAUGGUGUCUUAUUUAAGUCUUUCAGCUAUUUUGAGUUUAUUUUUGUGCAUGGUGUGAGGGUAUGUUCUAAUUUCAUUGCUUUGCAUGCAGCCGUCCAGGUGUCCCAGCAAUUCUUGCUGAAUAGACUUUCUUUUUUUUUUUUUGUCUUUUUGCCUUUAGGGCUGCUUCCGUGGCAUAUGGAGGCUCCCAGGCUAGGGGUCGAAUCGGAGCUGUAGCCGCCAGCCCUACACCACAGCCACAGCCACACGGGAUCCGAGCCACGUCUGUGACCUACAGCUCAGCUCAUGGCAACACCAGCUCCUUAACCCACUGAAGUGAAUACAAAGGAUUUAAUUAUAUUUUCCAACAGGCAAACUGAUUACAGAUUGAAAGGAGAGACUGAGUACAUAUGUUAACAGAACAGUGCAGAAAACAAAUAUACAGAACAAUUACAGUACCAUGUGCUCUAUAUUAAGUCCAUUUUGCAGAAAAAGGAAAAAAAGCACAUUUAUUUAAGUGGCAUGAGCCUAGAUGUCUUCACUCCCAGAUUUGUCCAUGCUUUAAAAUUAUUUUUUGUUUUGAAAUAACUUACAGAAGAGUUGCAAAGUUAGUACAGUGAGUUCCUGUAUACCUUUCACCCAGCUUCCCCCAGUAUUAACUAUAAAACCACGGUACAUUUAAAAAAACCAAGAAAUUAAUAUUGAUACUAUUAACUAAAAUAUGGGAUAACCCUCAAGGACCUACUUACUAUAUAGCACAGGGAGUUAUACUCAAUAUACAUAUUUUUUGGUCUUUUUUUAGGGCCGAGGUUCUCAGGCUAGGGGUCAAAUCAGAACUGUAGCUGCUUGCCUCCGCCACAGCCACAGCCAAAGCAACACUAGAUCCCAGCCGUGUCUGCGACCUACACCACAGCUCACAGCAACGCAGGAUCAUGGGAACCCAUUGAGCGGGGCCAGGGAU